RNAcentral lists this long non-coding RNA (210 nucleotides) under Elaeis guineensis (African oil palm). RNAcentral describes it as "long non-coding RNA (EGUI_LNC074031)". The record is from RNAcentral. Lineage: Eukaryota; Viridiplantae; Streptophyta; Magnoliopsida; Arecales; Arecaceae.
CCUGACAGACCGCUAUGACGGCCACGAUCCUGCUCCACUUUCUGCGAUGGAUUUCGCGUGGCUCCACUACUCCCUGGCAGACCGCUAUGACGGCCACGAUUCUGCUCCACUUCCUGCGACGGAUUUCGUGCGGCUCCACUACUCCCUGACAGAUCACUAUGAUGCCCACGAUCCUGCUCCACCUCCUGCAAUGGAUACUUCAUGAUUCUU